AAGUGGGAAACAAAAAGGAGGAGAGAAAACCCUAAAAAAAAAACGGCGGUGGAACUCUCCGAGUGUUUGAGACUGAAGCGACUGAGAAGCGUAGACGCAAAUGGAAAUGACAAAAGACUUAUUGAGGGUAACAGAGACAGAAGGGAGAGGGAGGGCGUUGGUGGCGGCUCAGCCACUGAAGGGCGGUCAAAUCGUUCUCAGAGACUCUCCAAUCCUCCUAUACUCUGCUCUUCCUCUCAUCUCUCCUUCUCUUCACCCUUACUGUAACCACUGCUUCAAAACCCUAAAGCAACCUCAACCUCAAGCUGCUGGUUCUUCAGCUUGUGUAUGUCCAUGGUGUUCACACCAUGCCUUCUGCAGUUCCAAUUGCCUCUCCUCUGCUCUCUCCUAUUCCCACUCUCCUUGGGUCUGCCAAGCCCUCCGCCGCCUCCGCGACUCCCCUUCCCCUCUCUCCGACCAACCGCUGGAGCGUCAGGUCCAGGCCCGCUUCCUCAUCGCCGCCUACAACCUCGCAAUCGUUUCCCCGUCCAAUUUCCAGAUGCUCUUGUCUCUCCAGGGCCAGCCAGACGACUCGGCCGCCGCCGACACCACCGCGGCUGCCCACUUUCUGCAUUAUCUCAUCUCUUCCCUCUGCGCUCCUCCUCCCGCUCUCCAAGAGCGGCAGCUGUUUUCGGCGGAGCUCUCGGCGGCUCUGCUGGCCAAGGACAAGCUAAAUGCCUUUGGAUUAAUGGAGCCCUUCUCGGAAACUUCGCAGAGGUCCAGCAGAGCCUACGCCAUUUAUCCAAAGGCUUCAUUCUUCAACCACGAUUGUCUCCCCAAUGCCUGCAGAUUCGAUUAUGUCGACGCUGACGGCGACCACAACACCGAUAUGGUGAUCAGGAUGAUCCAUGAUGUUCCGGCGGGAAGGGAGAUUUGCUUGAGCUAUUUUCCGGUGAACCAGAGUUAUUCUAGCCGGCAGAGGACUUUGGCGGAGGACUAUGGGUUUGCUUGUCAAUGUGAUCGCUGCAAGGUCGAAGCCAAUUGGUCUGAUAAUGAGGAAAACAUUGAGGGUGAGGAAGAAGCAGAGGGCAUGGACGAGGACCAAGACCAGGAAAUGGAAGCAGCCUCAGAAUCAGAACCAGAGUCAGGUAGUGACAUUGAAGAAGCCCAAGCCCAAGCCCAAGUGGAAUCUGAUUUCCCACACGCCUAUUUCUUCCUCAGUUUCAUGUGUAAUAGAACCAAUUGCUGGGGCACUCUGGCCCCUUUGCCCCCAAAAGAUGAUGGAACUCCUUCUAAUGUAAUGGAAUGCAAUGUCUGUGGCAACCUGAAGAAAGAUGAAGAGAUCAGUGGUCAUGGUCGUGAUGGGCUCUCAAUCGAUGGCUAAAUUAACUGCUCUCUUGGUUGCUUGCUGGCUUUCUGCUUCAAGAGAUCAAAAAUUGGUGCACCAUGAUCCUCUCAGUUAAAGAAAUCAUAAACAGCCUUAGAGGUUUUGGAGGUUUCUUUUGCAGUGGUUACGCCUCUAUCAAUGCGAUGGAAGCAUUUGGUGAAACAGUGGGUGGCAAUCGCCAACAGCAAUCAUUCAAAGUUUGUGCCCCGAUUACGUGGCGGGAUCGUAUGCUUAGGCAGUAAGAUUUUGCUUUACUCAAAAGAAACUCAUGGCAAUCGAUCCAAUUGCAAGCAAAGAGGGAAUGUGGACAAAGCACUACCAAUUUUAUGAAGCUAAAAGAAAAAACCACUGAUUGGAAAUUUUUCCUGUUUUUGUUGUAAUAUGCGUUAUAUUUGGUUUUGGUAAACCCACUAGCCCUUCCUUUAACUGCUCCAACCUUGAUCGAAUCUAAUACGUAGACACCUUCCUAAUCACACGUUCACAUUCUAUGGUGGCGAUGGUGAAUCAGCCCACUAGCUGUUUGGAGUUUUGGACCACCACCGUGCUUAUUUGCAUACCCAACCAACCCCAAUGGUUUUUUGAGGAAAGAAAUAGGUAACAUAAUAACAUGCUUCAUAUUAUUCUUUUUUUAUCACCGCCUUGCGCUCUACACCCUCACGUUGGUUCCAGCUUUUAGGCACAAAACCUAACUUACAGAGGUAACUUUUCUCUGUGUUUGUCUCUACGUGCGCAAUGGCCUGCAAAAGAAAUUAGGAAUAUUGCAUUUCAGGAC
Molecule: non-coding RNA, 2138 nt
Organism: Prunus mume (Japanese apricot)
Lineage: Eukaryota; Viridiplantae; Streptophyta; Magnoliopsida; Rosales; Rosaceae
Source: RefSeq, a predicted model, not a curated record